Molecule: ribosomal RNA, 254 nt
Filed under: uncultured bacterium
Lineage: Bacteria
Description: partial 16S ribosomal RNA
Rfam family: Bacterial small subunit ribosomal RNA
Source: RNAcentral
CGUAGGUGGCGAGCGUUAUCCGGAAUUAUUGGGCGUAAAGAGCGCGCAGGUGGUUGAUUAAGUCUGAUGUGAAAGCCCACGGCUUAACCGUGGAGGGUCAUUGGAAACUGGUCAACUUGAGUGCAGAAGAGGGAAGUGGAAUUCCAUGUGUAGCGGUGAAAUGCGUAGAGAUAUGGAGGAACACCAGUGGCGAAGGCGGCUUCCUGGUCUGUAACUGACACUGAGGCGCGAAAGCGUGGGGAGCAAACAGGAUU